UACAGAGGUCCCAAGCGUUGUUCGGAUUCAUUGGGCGUAAAGGGUGCGUAGGCGGCGCGGUAAGUCGGGUGUGAAAUCUCGGGGCUUAACUCCGAAACUGCAUUCGAUACUGCCGUGCUUGAGGACUGGAGAGGAGACUGGAAUUUACGGUGUAGCGGUGAAAUGCGUAGAUAUCGUAAGGAAGACCAGUGGCGAAGGCGGGUCUCGUGGACAGUUCCUGACGCUGAGGCACGAAGGCCAGGGGAGCAAACGGG
Molecule: ribosomal RNA, 254 nt
Filed under: uncultured bacterium
Lineage: Bacteria
Description: partial 16S ribosomal RNA
Rfam family: Bacterial small subunit ribosomal RNA
Source: RNAcentral